This is a long non-coding RNA of Bos taurus (domestic cattle), 2257 nucleotides long. The record is from Ensembl. Lineage: Eukaryota; Metazoa; Chordata; Mammalia; Artiodactyla; Bovidae.
CCCCAUGGGGAAAAAAAGGACAAAAUAUGAGCACAUACACCAGGCUCCUGUUCCUCUUAGGCUGUUAGCUUUAUUGGGCUGGUUUGUCGUUUGUCUGCUAGUGAUGUGUGGGACUCUCCUCACUUCACUUCCCUUCGUCCCUCUUCAAGGGUUUCUCUUGUGAUCUCUGCCCAUCUCCCAACAACCUUUCCCUCUCUCAGUACAGCUGCUGAUUUCAAAAUGCUGAGCCCUCUUCUGUAGGAGCCUGUCCCCCUAUCAUAGCUGAUGGAUGGGGUUGGAUGCCUGACCCAAAUUAGCCAAUCAGAGUUUCUCUCCUGAGAAUGUAAAGAGGGACAGAGAUAGGUGGGGACCAAAAGUUAUGGGAGCUGAGCCCUGUGUGGUAGGCAGAAUUUUACAUAGGGCACGUGUAAUAUGAUGAGAAGCUGAGCUUCUCACUCCCACAAUUGCUGUGUUACUUGGCAGGGUUGACCUUAAGAUAAAAGACUCUCAGGUGAGCCUGAUCUAGUCAUCUGGUUCUUUCAAAGCAGCAGGAGUCAGAUUUGAAGCACGAGGGACUUUGCUGGCUUGAAGAUGGAGGGGGUCAUAGGGGAAGAAAGUGCUGUGGCUUCUAGGAGCUGACGGAGUUUCCCAGCUGAGAGCCAUUGAGGAAGUGGACACCUCAAUCUUAUAAUCACAAGGACGUGAUUCAGCCAACAACCUGAAGGAGCUUAGAAGUGGACUUUCCCCUCAAGCUUCCAGAGAAGACCCCAGCAUGGCUGACACCUUGGCUUUGGUCUUGAGCAGAGGACAAAGUUGAGCUGUGCCAGACUUCUGACCUACAGAACUUGGCUUCUGUUGAGAGCUUCCCUGGUGGCUCAUACACUAAAGCAUCUGCCUACAAUGCGGGAGACCCAGGUUCAAUCCAUGGAUCAGGAAGAUCUCCUGGAGAAGGAAAUGGAAACCCACUCCAGUAUUCUUGCCUGGAAAAUCCUAUAGACGGAGGAACCUGAUCCCAUUUAGUGAAUCCUGCUUGCUCUACCUUCAGGAUAUAUCCAGCUGCUGCCCCUGCCAUCCUGUCCAGGCCAUUGCCACCUCUUGUCUGAAUCAUCACAGAGCCUCUAACACGUCUCCCUUCAUCCUUUUGCCCCUGACACGGUGGAGAAGAGACCAAACAGCUGCCAGAGAUCCUCAGCAUGGCGCCCUGGGGCACCGAGGACGCGUGUGCUGCUGUGAAAGCAGAAGCCAGAAUUCUCAUGAUGACUUCAGGGCCCCCUGUGACUCGGCCCCUACGUCCUUCUCUUCAUGCCCUCGCACACUUCUCACCUCUCAUUCUAUUCCAGCCACAGGGGUCUGGCUUCCGUUCCCUGAACUCUCAUGCCCUGAGGCCUUUGCACUCGCUGUCCCUUCUGCCCACACUGCUCUUCUCUAGGGUAUCUGACAGCUCACUCCCUCACCUCUUUCAGGGCUUUCAAAUGCCACCUUCCUCAUGGAGCCUUCCUGGUCAUUCUAUUCAUAAUUUCUCCCCUAAUGGAAACCCUUCACCCCACUAUGUCCCUGAUUUCAUUUUCUCUUUAGAACUUAUGAUGAUCUGACAUACAUAUUUAUAUUAUAUAUUUUAUAUACUUAUUGUGUUGAUUGUCUUUUUCCUGCACAAGAAUAUGAAGUCUAUGAAGAAAUAGUUUUUUUAAAAGUUCUAUCCAGGGCUUCCCUGGUGGUUCAGUGGUUAAGAAUCUGCCUGCCAAUGCAGAGGACACAGGUUUGAUGCCUGGUCUGGGAGGAUCCCACAUGCCACUAAGCCCAUGUGCCACAACUACUGAAGCUGGCACACACUAGAGCCUGUGCUCGGCAACAAGAGAAGCCUCUGCAAUGAGAAGCCUGCGCACCACAACUUGAGAGAGCCCACGUGCAGUGAUGAAGACCCCGUGGACCCAAAAAUAAAUAAAUACAAACACAUUUCCUUAAAAAAAAAUGUUCUAUCCAUUGCCAUACGCCCAGUGCCUAAAAUAGCACCUAAUACAUAUUGAAAGUAUUAGCUGCUCAGUCCUGUUCGACUCUUUGCAACCCCAUUGACUAUAGCCCACCAGGCUCCUCAGACCAUGGCAUCCUCCAGGCAAGAAUACUGGAAGGGACUGCCGUUCCCUUCUCCAGGGGAUCUUUCUAACCCAGGGAUUCAACCCAGGUCUUCUACAUUGAAGGCAGAUUCUUUACUGUCUGAGCCACCAGGGAGGCCCUAACACAUAUUAAGUGCUCAAUAAGUACUUGUUGAAUGGUUGAUAGA